Orbicella faveolata is the source of this 1205-nucleotide long non-coding RNA. The record is from RefSeq and is a predicted model, not a curated record. Lineage: Eukaryota; Metazoa; Cnidaria; Anthozoa; Scleractinia; Merulinidae.
UUUUUCUGUAUUUCCGUGCACGUGCGUACGUGCGCAUUUGGUCGUUAUCUGAACCCCUAUGCCAUCACAAAUUUCAGUUGCCAGUUUGCAGGUGAAAAAGAUAAUUACAGCUUUCUUGAUUUAUAGCCGUUUGUCAGUCAGGUAAGAUUUCAAGUCCAAUGAAAAGCAAGAAAUAUAAAUGGUCUAUUACUAAAAUUUGACAAUUUUUCUGUUAUUUAGCUGUGUAGUUGAAAUUUCGUCCGCGUAUCAGUUGCUAGAUUUAAAGCCACCUUCACUCGUUUUUAUUUCGCCAAUAGUAAACAUGAAUCGAUAAUUGAUAUCACUGCGGCAUGUAGAUCACUUAUUGUCUUUGAACUGCAGUUUCUUUUAAUCAGAAGUUAUUCAAAAGCAGUUAUUUGCAUUGAGGUGAGACAGUGGAGCUAGACGAAGCUCUCGACCAAUCAGGAGCCUGGAGUGAUUUCAUAGAUGUAGGUCUUGCGUUACGUUCAUAUGUACAGCAUUUCGAUCCUGACCGGAUUCUAUUGAAUGCUCUUAUUCUUCAGUUAUCGUUGAGCUGAUUUUUAUCAUCGACGUAAAAUAUAUUGACUUUAUAUAUCUGCGAAACGUCCUGAUCUAAUCUAAACAACGCGUGAUUAUGAACAGAAUGACUUCAGUUAAUUGACGAUUUUGGCUGGAGUAAGGUGACAUUGAUUGAUUUCGCUGGUAGAACUUGAUUGACUUUUUCAAUUAUAAAACUAGAACGCACAGUUCAGCUUAAUUGCUGCGCGCAUAAGUAAACGUAAAUAUGCGUUGACUGUGCAUCAGCCGGUCUAGGGUAAGAAUCUCAAGAAAAGCGAUCGAUCAAUCGAUCUCUCAACACUACCUUCAUCAGUUUAGACAGUUUAAGAUGGAGCAUUCAAGUGAAGCAAGUUUGCCAGAGAUGAUCGCCGAGGUAACGGUGCUGUUGGUAUCUUGUUGUGGAACAGUUCUCGCUAACACCAUGGUUCUUAUUAAUGUGACCAUCAAGGAAAAACUUCACUCUCCGACCUACUUCUACUAUCUCAGCCUCGCUGUUUCCGAUUUGAUAUUAGGUAAGAAAGCAUUCUACGUUCCCGUGAGAUGGGAUGCGGCACUAUUCGUUGACUCCUAUCUCUUACCCUCCGCUCUUGUGCGCAAACCGAUGGCAUAAAGCGUGAAGAAGUAGGAAAGAAUCAGGUGGUAUAAAA